Molecule: non-coding RNA, 659 nt
Organism: Equus caballus (horse)
Lineage: Eukaryota; Metazoa; Chordata; Mammalia; Perissodactyla; Equidae
Source: RefSeq, a predicted model, not a curated record
UCAUGGAGACCGGGCAGAGAAAGGAUCCUGUGGUGAUGGAAAUAAAUGUCCUGUAUCUUGACUGUAUCAAUGCUACUAUCUUAAUUAUGGUAUUGUACUAUAGUUUAGAGAGAUAGUACCAUUCGGGGAACCAGGUAAAAGGUUGAUGUAAUUUCUCUGGGUUGUUUCUUACAACUUCCUGUGAAUCUACAUUUAUCUCAAAGUAAAUAGAUUAGUUUUAAAAACUCAAAAGAUGCAGGCAAAACCAGGGAAACAGAUAUGUCAGUUUGUCAGUUAUGGCAUGCGCCUUAGAACCCUGACGCCAUAACGGCCGGUGACCUUGACAACUCCAGAAUCCUCAGGCUUCAGGGCCUAGUUUACAGUGCUCUGCCAAGUGCUGUGGACGUGCUCGAUAGUCAGUGCCAAGAAUUGAAGAAAACGGGAUGUUUUCGUCAAUCAAAAAGCGCUUUCAGCUUUCAGGCAGUCGUUCAAGGCUUCACCUCCACAGGGAAAGCUCUUCUGUUGAGGUGGACACCCACAGUGAAAAUGCUACGUCAUCUGAGAGUGCCGCUCGCACUCUGCUGAUCCACGGCCCCGUGGAACUCAAAAGAGGCUGGAGGAGGCAGAAGCGACACCUCUUCUUGCUCAGCGAUCUGUUGCUGAUAACUAACACCAAGUAC